CCCCAGACUCAGGUCUUCUGAAAUCAUUUUCACAAUCUCUUUUUUGAUGUUCUCUACUCUCUCGCUCCAACUGCUCUAACUCUGCUUCCAGGUCACGUCUUCUUUGUCGCCUUAUUUCUUCCUCAGCUGCUUCCUCUUUAUCUCGUUGUUCUCGAGUUUCUGAUCUCAUUCGGGGUCUCUCCAUUUCCUGUCUCCUUUUGUUUUCC
Pelobates cultripes (western spadefoot toad) is the source of this 206-nucleotide non-coding RNA. The record is from the annotation of a GenBank genome assembly. NCBI's taxonomy places the organism in Eukaryota, Metazoa, Chordata, Amphibia, Anura, Pelobatidae.